CACUUUCUUACACCAUACACAAAAAUGAUCUCAAAAUGGAUGAAAGACUUAAAUAUGAGACCUGAAACCAUAAAAAUCUAGAAGAAAGCAUGGGCAGGAAUGUCUCUGACAUUGCCAUAGCAACACUUUACUAGAUAUGUCUCCUGAGGCAAGGAAAAUAAAAGCAACAAUAAACUAUUGUGAUUCUAUCAAAAUAAAAAGCUUCUGCACAGUGAAAGAAACAACCAACAAGACUAAAAGACAACACAUUGAAUGAUAGAAGAUAAUUGCAAAUGACAUCUCUGAUAAAAGGUUAGUAUCCAAUAUUUAUAAAGUACUCAGACAA
Long non-coding RNA from Herpailurus yagouaroundi (jaguarundi), 325 nucleotides. RefSeq lists it as uncharacterized. NCBI's taxonomy places the organism in Eukaryota, Metazoa, Chordata, Mammalia, Carnivora, Felidae. The transcript is spliced from 3 exons. The record is from RefSeq and is a predicted model, not a curated record.